UGAACGCUGGCGGCGUGCUUAACACAUGCAAGUCGAACGAGAAAGAGGUUGCUUGCAACCUUGAGUAGAGUGGCGCACGGGUGAGUAACACGUAGAUAAUCUACCUUCAAGCCUGGAAUAACUAUUCGAAAGGGUAGCUAAUACCGGAUAAAGUUGAUCAACAUAAGUUGGUUUAUGAAAGAUUGCCUCUUCUUGAAAGCAAUUGUUUGGAGAUGAGUCUGCGGACCAUUAGUUUGUUGGUGGGGUAAAGGCCUACCAAGACUGCGAUGGUUAGCUGGUCUGAGAGGAUGAUCAGCCACACUGGAACUGACACACGGUCCAGACUCCUACGGGAGGCAGCAGUGAGGAAUUUUGCGCAAUGGGGGAAACCCUGACGCAGCAACGCCGCGUGAGUGAAGAAGGCCCUUGGGUCGUAAAGCUCUGUCGACAGGGAAGAAAUUAACAUCAUCCAAUAGGUGUUGUUAUUGACGGUACCUGUAGAGGAAGCACCGGCUAACUCC
RNAcentral lists this ribosomal RNA (500 nucleotides) under uncultured bacterium. Its description in RNAcentral is "bacterial SSU rRNA". It matches the Rfam family "Bacterial small subunit ribosomal RNA", at positions 30 to 504 of the family's 1533-position model. The record is from RNAcentral.